This 281-nucleotide unclassified non-coding RNA is filed under the name plant metagenome. RNAcentral's name for it is "partial contains small subunit ribosomal RNA, internal transcribed spacer 1, and 5.8S ribosomal RNA". The stretch from base 234 to 281 matches the Rfam family "5.8S ribosomal RNA", at positions 1 to 49 of the family's 154-position model. The record is from RNAcentral.
UUUCCGUAGGUGAACCUGCGGAAGGAUCAUUAUUGUAUAACCGAGGUGCGAGGGCUGUCGCUGACCCGAAAGGUCGUGCACGCCCGAGUGCCCUCACACACAUCCAUCUCACCCCUAUGUGCACCACCGCGUGGGUCCCCCUUUGGCUUGUUCGGAGGGGGGCUUACGUUUUCACACAAACUUUGUAUGCAGUGUAGAAUGUAUUUUUGUUUUUGCGAUCACGCAAUCAAUACAACUUUCAACAACGGAUCUCUUGGCUCUCGCAUCGAUGAAGACGCAGC